Molecule: long non-coding RNA, 1408 nt
Filed under: Prunus persica (peach)
Lineage: Eukaryota; Viridiplantae; Streptophyta; Magnoliopsida; Rosales; Rosaceae
Description: long non-coding RNA (PPER_LNC007343)
Source: RNAcentral
AGGACCCACGUUUCAGAAUCCAAUUCACGUUUCAUUUUAAAUAAAUAAAUAAUUCAAUUUAAAAAAACGUGUAGGCUUUGGAAUUUAUUAUGGGUCGGGUUUCACCGUUGUUUGGGUUUGAAAGUGGGUUAAUUUCAUAGUGGGUUGGGCUUAAAAAAUAGUUUGGGAUUCAGUUUGCGUAAGCCUGUGUGAUACGCUCAAUGCAAUCGAGUUACCUGCGAAAGUGUUAUGAAAGUGACUCAAAAACAUAACAAGACUCCAAUAAAUUUAAUAUAAAAAAAGCAAAAAUAUUUUAAAAAAUUUAAGAAAAACCAUAUUUACUUGCUAGACUCCAAUACCCCAAAACCUAGAAAUGAACAUUGUCCUCAAUAUUUAAAACUUAGGAACAAAGCAAUGUCAUAACCAUAAAUGAAAGUUACUAAAGUAAAUAUAUAUCACAAAAUACAAUAAUUGAAAUACAAAAAUAAAUAAAAUAAAAGUUACAAAAACAAACAAACAAAUGAAUAAAAACUAAGCAGUAACCCCUAAUCACACAGGCUUACGCAAACUGAAACCCAAACCAUGUUUUAAGCCCAACCCACUAUGAAAUUAACCCACUUUGAAACCCAGACAACGGUGAAACCUGACCCAUAACGAAUUCCGAAGCCUACACGUUUUUUAAAAAAAAUUGAAUUAUUUAUUUAUUUAUUUAAGAUGAAACGUGAAUUGGAUUCUGAAACGUUGGUCCUAUUGUUGUCUCCCAGUAAGUCACAGCCAGCAAGCAAGAGCCACGUGUGGACAGGUAGAGGCACCGUAGAUUCCGAAGCACAAAUUACAUAUGCCAUGGAAAGUCAGGACGACUUUGCUGAAUGCGUUCGUUCAGAAAGGGCACGUUGCUAUAAAUUAGUUGGAGAUGGUUGGAAAGCCAAAAGGCCGUGAAGCUUGAGGAACGCGAGAAAAUAAAAAAAUGCUUAGAUGCUGUAAUGGCUAGGGUUUGUCAUAAUUGACGUCUAUAAAAGGAAAUUACAACCACGCAGAAGAGAGAAAAGGAAGAAGAAAAAAGAGAGCUAAGAGAAAAGAAAGUCGAAAGAAAAUGUUGUAUUUCUUCCCAUCUUUUCUAGAUCUUAACCUGGCUCUACCAAAAGAGACAUGAGGGCAGGGAAUUGCAUCGGUCUGGACGCCCUAAUUUGCUUCUUCACGAGGACCAGUGACAGUAAACGACUCAUUACUCCUUGACAUUUAAGUUGCCAUUUGAGUUGCGAGAAGUUUGAUGACUCCUAAGGAUGUGCGCAUACUAGGAAUGAGGAAUGACAACCGGUUAGUGAGCGACGUCAUGGUACUGAGCGUGCAAAGUGGGGCAUCUAUCGCAAGUGUGGGGCAUCGCCUCAUUGCGAAAUCUCAUGAGGUGCAAGUACUGAGAGCUUAGUUG